AUUGAACGCUGGCGGCAGGCUUAACACAUGCAAGUCGAGCGGGGAGAUGUAGCUUGCUACAUCUCCUAGCGGCGGACGGGUGAGUAAUGCUUAGGAAUCUGCCUAUUAGUGGGGGACAACAUUCCGAAAGGAAUGCUAAUACCGCAUACGCCCUACGGGGGAAAGCAGGGGAUCUUCGGACCUUGCGCUAAUAGAUGAGCCUAAGUCGGAUUAGCUAGUUGGUGGGGUAAAGGCCUACCAAGGCGACGAUCCGUAGCGGGUCUGAGAGGAUGAUCCGCCACACUGGGACUGAGACACGGCCCAGGCUCCUACGGGAGGCAGCAGUGGGGAAUAUUGGACAAUGGGGGCAAGCCUGGUCCAGCCAUGCCGCGUGGGUGAAGAAGGCCUUUUGGUUGUAAAGCACUUUAAGCGAGGGGGAGGCUCCUUUAGUUAAUACCUAGAGAGAGUGGACGUUACUCGCAGAAUAAGCACCGGCUAACUCUGUG
This 485-nucleotide ribosomal RNA is filed under the name uncultured bacterium. Its description in RNAcentral is "partial 16S ribosomal RNA". It matches the Rfam family "Bacterial small subunit ribosomal RNA", at positions 30 to 507 of the family's 1533-position model. The record is from RNAcentral.